AUUGAACGCUGGCGGCAUGCCCUACACAUGCAAGUCGAACGGCAGCACGGGUGCUUGCCCCUGGUGGCGAGUGGCGAACGGGUGAGUAAUACAUCGGAACAUGUCCUGUAGUGGGGGAUAGCCCGGCGAAAGCCGGAUUAAUACCGCAUACGAUCUACGGAUGAAAGCGGGGGACCUUCGGGCCUCGCGCUAUAGGGUUGGCCGAUGGCUGAUUAGCUAGUUGGUGGGGUAAAGGCCUACCAAGGCGACGAUCAGUAGCUGGUCUGAGAGGACGACCAGCCACACUGGGACUGAGACACGGCCCAGACUCCUACGGGAGGCAGCAGUGGGGAAUUUUGGACAAUGGGCGAAAGCCUGAUCCAGCAAUGCCGCGUGUGUGAAGAAGGCCUUCGGGUUGUAAAGCACUUUUGUCCGGAAAGAAAUCCUUGGCCCUAAUACGGUCGGGGGAUGACGGUACCGGAAGAAUAAGCACCGGCUAACUACGUG
Molecule: ribosomal RNA, 486 nt
Filed under: uncultured bacterium
Lineage: Bacteria
Description: partial 16S ribosomal RNA
Rfam family: Bacterial small subunit ribosomal RNA
Source: RNAcentral